RNAcentral lists this long non-coding RNA (1081 nucleotides) under Capsicum annuum. RNAcentral describes it as "long non-coding RNA (CANN_LNC004616)". The record is from RNAcentral. Lineage: Eukaryota; Viridiplantae; Streptophyta; Magnoliopsida; Solanales; Solanaceae.
GCACGAAACUAGCUCAUAUACACAAUUCAAAUUUCAAGCCUGACAUCACUACAGUCGCUGGCUCACUUCACCUCCAUCAUCUACGACCACCAUGGCCCGUGAACCAACUAAACUCCAACUCCAACUCCAAGAUAAUAAUUGAUUUAUCGGAGACACACGAAACUAGCUCAGAUACACAAUUCAAAUUUCAAGCCUCACAUCACUACAAUCGCUGGCUCACUUCACCUCCAUCAUCUACGACCACCAUGGCCCGUGAACCACUAUGUAUCCGCCCCACUCCUCUUCAUCUUCUAUUUCUCAACCUCCAUCUGCCACUAUCAUCAGUAGAACACCACCAAACGAACCUCACUCAACACCGUGCAGCAAAUCUUCGGUCAAUCAUUAUUACCAUUGAAAUUUGAUUUAACCAUCAUAUCUAGAGCAGAUCUGAUUCCUCCCUCCACCAUCGUCGAAAAUUGAUUCCUCCCUCUAUCUACGAUGAGCUUCACCACCACCGGAGAACCUUCUCCCGUCGAUUGACAGAUCUAGUUCCUCUCUCCAUCAUAGUCGGAUGGCAAUUGAGCUCGACGCAGAUCUGAAAACUCCAGCAAGUUCAAGCCAAAUUCAGAUAUUCUUGUAUUUGGAUGGUGUAUUAACAACAGUGUAUCUUUUAAUUUUUGUGACUUCCUGAUUUUUUGUAAUCUGAAAAUUUGUUUAUCUUUUUUAUUUUUGAAAAUUAUCUAAACAUAGAGAAAAGGCAUAAAUGAUCGCUUAUUGGAGUAGGCCUAAUAUAGGUCUUUAAAUAUACACUUAUCAAUUUUAAUCCUUUAAUUAUCUAAAAAUUUAUCAAGUUUAUUUUUAUAUAUUCUUAUACAAAUAACUUUUAUUUAUAUUAACGGAAAUUUGUAUUCCUUUUCUCAAUUAUUUCUCUUUUGGACACCUUAUCCUCAAAUUUCUCUCGUCAUAAAAUAGAUUAUAAGUACAAAAAACAGUAUUUUGCAUUAAACUAGGUCAAAUUACAGUACUAAAAUCUCAAAAAGUCACUACACUACACAAAAAAGCUAGAUCAAACUAUCAUCAAACUGUACAAAAAAUAAUGCCA